Molecule: ribosomal RNA, 253 nt
Filed under: uncultured bacterium
Lineage: Bacteria
Description: partial 16S ribosomal RNA
Rfam family: Bacterial small subunit ribosomal RNA
Source: RNAcentral
UACGUAGGGUGCGAGCGUUAAUCGGAAUUACUGGGCGUAAAGCGUGCGCAGGCGGUUCGUUAUGUCCGAUGUGAAAGCCCCGAGCUCAACUUGGGAAUGGCAUUAGAAACUGGCGGGCUGGAGUGUGGCAGAGGGGGGUGGAAUUCCACGUGUAGCAGUGAAAUGCGUAGAGAUGUGGAGGAACACCGAUGGCGAAGGCAGCCCCCUGGGCCAACACUGACGCUCAGGCACGAAAGCGUGGGGAGCAAACAGG